CUGGAGUCAAAAAUAAGGCAAAUCUGAAAAACCUCAAAAAUACAGAUUAAGAUUGUUUGCUUCAACACUGUUUAUUUUAGCCCUUUAUUCAUCCGCCUGUAAUUAUCUCAAAGCUUGAAUAUAAUAAAAGAGGCAUUCAUUUUCUUGGCACAAUGGAUAAUGCUGUUAAUCUUUACUGCCAAGAAUAACUGCUUGUAUGAUUAUUAUCAAGUGUGCUUAUCAAAUACGUAAGUCAAUAAUGGCAACUAAACAUAUGAAAGUGAUAUUAACAUCCAGAGGAAGAAACAGAAGCUUACAUACAUUUAUGGAGUCCAUGGGGAAUUAUUGGGCAUCUACAAAGCAAUAUUUAUAGGGCAUUUAAAUACGAUUUUAAAAAAUACAAAAUAAAAUAUAUAUAUAUUUUUUACCAAUAUAUCACUGACAUAAGGUGUGUGAGGUUGUAUAUUGUAACUGUUAUAGUUAUAGACAGUUACUGAAUUUAUAUACUAGACAGUUGACACACCCCUUACACCCCAGGGAUAUCUGUGAUAUAUUGGUAUGUAUAGCAAGUACAAAUUCAUAUAACCCCCCCAGCCCCCCCCCCCCCCCCCACACACACACACACACACACACACAACCACAAAUGAAAAGGCAACAUUACCCUGAGGACAAUCGGAGAACCAAAUAAUAAGGAAUAACACAAAAAUUCACCCCCAAAAAACUAUUUGUGUGUGUGUGUGUGUGUGUGUGUGUGUGUGUGUGUGUGUGUGUGUGUGUGUGUGUGUGUUUUUUGGUGUGUUAGUCCUGCUUAGUGGAAACUCCUUUUUGAUGAGAACAACUCUAUUGUAACUCAAAUGUAUACAGUAUUUUAACUCAACUAAAACUCAAAUACAACCAUGGUGACCAGAAAAGCAUUUAACAACAUACAACAUGUAUCCCUUGAGGCGGAUGGGUGGAAACUUGCUGAUAUAAGUUCACACAAGAAUGGCCAGACUAACGGGACAGCUACGGUAACUUAAAUAGCCACUCUAUACAACUCUGGUGAGCAAAAAAACAUCUCACAACAGAUAUGUCAAAUCCUGAGAUGGAUGGGCUACAACAGCAAAAGGCCUCAUCUGGUUCCACUCCAGCCAAGAACAGGAAUCCGAGGCUGUAGUAGGCACAGGAUUACCAAAACCUGAUUCAAAUCAAUCCUCACCUCAUAAAAUGGUUCAUGUGUAAUAAAUGUGCAGUAAAAGUUGACUGCAGGUUUCACACAUGCUUACGAUAGGAAAUUCCACACACACACUGCAUGAUAUUUGUCCAGAUUUUCUCGUUCUUGCAUUUAUUUUCACAAAGCACAGGGACUCAGGGAUCAGACACGUUUUGACAAGGUUCCCUCCAGGUGAUAGAUUGUGUAAAGCGUGAGCAUCGACUGCGCAUCGCUAUGUCAACAAGACAACACAUCGCGAACGAUAAAUGUCACGUCGUGUGAGAAAGUACAGCGAUUCUGGGAUUUUGAAACCCGUGUAGCGCCCAGUGGGCAGAACUGAUUAUUGAUUGUGAAAAUCCCUAUAGCCACAUGAUAAAAUCUCGUAAUAUGUACGUUUUAAGCAUAUGUACGUUUUCUAAAGGUGACCUCACUUUAAAGAAGAUGAAAACAAAUCGAACGUAUCUCUCUCGGAUUCACUUUCAAUUCCACAGCGAAUCGGCAUGUAAGAUGAAUCCUCCUACAGAGCGUUCGUCACAAAGGCAAAACAAACGAAGCAGACGUAUUUAAUCCUCAUCCGAUUCACCUUGUAUGCGUUUUUGUUCGACAUUUCAAACUCUUUUCUGUGAUGGAAAUUCUUGCCAGCACAAAAGUACAGAAAAUCUUUUUGCUCAAAAAGAAUCCUUGUGAGUGACCUAGAACACACUCGUAGACCCCUGAGUCUCCGAAUCAAUCGCCUACUGUAUCCAGUAUCUCUGACUGGAUUCAGCAAGAUUAAAAAAAAAGGAGUCAGCGCAAGCUUUUAAGCACGUCAGUCCAUCAAGAGAGAACCGUGACUGGAUGAUUAUCGAUCCUUAUACUAGAGACCCCACAAUCAAACACACUCCGUUCACUUCUAUAUAGAUGUGUAUGUGUAUAUUGUCAAAAACAACCAGUGGUGGAACUACUUUUCAAGCGAAACUCUUUUUUUUUUUUUUUUGGUGGUACUUACAAAAGUCCCUGGAACAACUACAAAAAAAAAUACCUAAAGUACAUCUUUAAGGACUGUACAAGAUCUCUGAAGGUGUGCUGUGGUAUCUGGCACCAAGACGUUAGCAGCAGAUCCUUUAAGUCGUGUAAACUGAAAGGUGGGGUGUCCAUGGAUCGGAUUUGUUUGUCCAGCACAUCCUACAGAUGCUCGAACGGAUUGAGAUCUGGGGAAUUUGGAGGCCAAGUUCAUUAUACCAUUCCUGAACAGUUUUUGCAGUGCGGCAGGGCACAUUCUGCUGCAAGAGGCCACUGCCUUUAGGGAAUACCGGUGUCACGAAAGGGUGUACUUGGACUGCAACUCUGUUUAGAUAGGUGGUACAUGUCAAACUAACAUCCAAAGUAGGUACUCUUGGUAGAUGCUAACCACUGCAUACCAGGAACACACAACAAGACUUGUCGUUUUAGAGAUGCUCUGACCCAGUCGUCUAGCCAUCUCAAGUUGUCUCUUGUCAAAGUCACUCAGAUCCUUACGCUUGCCUGUUUUUCCUGCUUCCAUCACAUCAACUUUGAGAACUUGACUGUUUACUUGCUGCCUAAUAUACGUCACCUCUUUACAGGUGCUAUUGUAAGAAAAUCAAUGUCAUUCACGUCACCUCUCAAAUUGUAAUUGUGGUUACAAUGUUUAAUUGAUCGAUUAAUAUAACGCUUUUUAUCCAUUUCAAGUUACAGAUAAUGUUGUGGAAUGUCUGCAAGUUAGCACUUACGUGAUAUAAACAGUCAUUCCAUCAACAGCUUCUCUUUCUUAAAUCAAUAAGACAAAAAUCUCCUCGAUCUUGAAGACUUUCCCAUAGUGGAAUGCUUACUGACACUGGAGACUCCUUCCAUGAACUGUUACUAUAGAAACAAUGAAGUGUUAGAACAUAAAUAUAAACCUGAGAUUUGAAUUACAGCUAGAGCUACUGUCCGAUCUUAGAAAAUUCAUCAAUAUCCUGUAACCAAUCAGGUGAUAUGAAUAAAUAUUUGUGUAAUCACACCUUGUUUCUGAAUUUGAGUUUUUAUAGUACAAAAAAGCUAUUUCAUUUAAAAGUAAAUAAAUUGCUAAAACUGCAGCACCGUAGUUGUGUGAUGUGAUGUGAGAGGCUGAAAAAUUCUGUGUGUAUUGCUGAACCCCACAGUGGCAUACAAGCACCAAAAAUGGUUUUGAUGUCUUAAGCCCAUGUAUCUAGAAAGCUUUUCUUUAAGAGUGCAAGGCUGCUGCAUUCAGAUGUACAUAAAGUCAACACUAACACCUUAUAGUACUAUUCAUAUGCAUUAGAACGUCAUAAAGCAUGGAUAGAAGCUAUUUGGUGACACUUUACCUAAGGCCAGUCCUCAUAGGGCUACAUGACAACAAAAAUAAUCAUUCAUAAUUUUUUACAAUGCUCAUUUAAGAGACAUCAGCUGUCACAAGGAUUCAUCUUUACAAUCUGACAUCAUGCCAUCGUUAUCACACCCGAGUCAAUUGAAAUGAUAAAGCAAGUUUAAUAUUUUGUGCUUAUAAGCUUGUUAUGAAUACCUGUGGCAAUGCUAUGACAUUAAAAAAUAUAUAUAUAUAUUACGUUUGUGUGCUUUGUUCAACACAUCGUCACAUCAUUAUACAAGAACUAUACUGAGCUACAGUCAGUUUUCAUGAUGUUCUAUAGUGAUGCAACACAUAUGUUAAUAUCACUAUAUCACUUGACAAACCCGGUCUCUAUGACAGCUGACAAUAAAAAAAAAAUCAAUCUAUAUAAAUAUCUAUGUAGGUUUAUGUCAGUUGUCAUGAAGCAUUUAUGUAGGUGUCCUGUUGACAUAACACUUAUAAUUGUCUAUGUAGGUUUAUUUCAGUUGUCAUGAAGCAUUUAUGUAGGUGUCCUGUUGACAUAACACUUAUGUCAGCUUUAUGACAGCUAACAACUGCCAUAGUGUCAACCUGAACAUUUAUGAGUUUAAAACAGCUUUAUGACAUAAUGACAGCUAACGACUGUCAUAAAGUGUCAAACUGACAUCAAAACUGCCUUUAUGACAGCUGACAAUUUGUCUAUCAGCUUUAUGACUUUAUGACAGCUAACGACUUCUGAAAUAAGCUUGAGUAGAUGUUCAAGUAAGUAUGUUUAUGCCAGUUGUUACAAAGCGCUUAUGUAAGCAUCAUGCUAACAUAACAUUUGUGUCAACAGUAUGUGCUAUGCCGCUUAUAACGUUAAGGUGUUAUGUCAACUUGUCAUCAAAACUGACAAACACUGCCUUAAUGACAGCUGAAAGUUGUUGAAAUAAGCCUAUAUAAAUAUCUAUGUAGGCUUAUAUCAGUUGUCAUGAAGAAGUUACAUAG
This is a long non-coding RNA of Ictalurus punctatus (channel catfish), 4484 nucleotides long. The record is from Ensembl. Lineage: Eukaryota; Metazoa; Chordata; Actinopteri; Siluriformes; Ictaluridae.